UACAGAGGGUGCUAGCGUUGUUCGGAAUCAUUGGGCGUAGAGGGCGCGUAGGCGGCUUGGUCAGUCCCGUGUGAAAUCCCUCGGCUCAACUGAGGAACUGCACGGGAAACUGCCUGGCUUGAGUUCGGGAGAGGGAAGCGGAAUUCCGGGUGUAGCGGUGAAAUGCGUAGAUAUCCGGAGGAACACCGGUGGCGAAGGCGGCUUCCUGGACCGACACUGACGCUGAGGCGCGAAAGCUAGGGGAGCAAACGGG
This 253-nucleotide ribosomal RNA is filed under the name uncultured bacterium. RNAcentral's name for it is "partial 16S ribosomal RNA". It matches the Rfam family "Bacterial small subunit ribosomal RNA", at positions 524 to 776 of the family's 1533-position model. The record is from RNAcentral.